CCUACGGGAGGCUGCAGUGGGGAAUAUUGCACAAUGGGCGCAAGCCUGAUGCAGCCAUGCCGCGUGUGUGAAGAAGGCCUUCGGGUUGUAAAGCACUUUCAGCGGGGAGGAAGGCGUUAAGGUUAAUAACCUUGGCGAUUGACGUUACCCGCAGAAGAAGCACCGGCUAACUCCGUGCCAGCAGCCGCGGUAAUACGGAGGGUGCAAGCGUUAAUCGGAAUUACUGGGCGUAAAGCGCACGCAGGCGGUCUGUCAAGUCGGAUGUGAAAUCCCCGGGCUCAACCUGGGAACUGCAUUCGAAACUGGCAGGCUAGAGUCUUGUAGAGGGGGGUAGAAGUCCAGGUGUAGCGGUGAAAUGCGUAGAGAUCUGGAGGAAUACCGGUGGCGAAGGCGGCCCCCUGGACAAAGACUGACGCUCAGGUGCGAAAGCGUGGGGAGCAAACAGGAUUAGAUACCCGAGUAGUC
RNAcentral lists this ribosomal RNA (465 nucleotides) under uncultured Klebsiella sp. RNAcentral's name for it is "bacterial SSU rRNA". It matches the Rfam family "Bacterial small subunit ribosomal RNA", at positions 338 to 795 of the family's 1533-position model. The record is from RNAcentral. Lineage: Bacteria; Pseudomonadati; Pseudomonadota; Gammaproteobacteria; Enterobacterales; Enterobacteriaceae.